CUGGCCGUAACCAUAUUCUAAUCCAGAAUAUCAGUACGUAUGCUUUCCAUUUACUAUUUCUUGUGCAAGAAAACCACAUGCAUGCAUAUUAAUUUCACUUGCGGAAUGUGAAUUUUCGCAUUUCCCAUCUAAAAUUCAGGAUCCGGACACGGCAGUAAGAGCUUUGCACGGGAUUUUGGAGUAUGGUAAUCAAUAAGGUAUUCUGACCUGUGUUUAUUUUUCUUUUCUUUUUAUUUCUAUUUUGAGUGACUGUCCGAUUGACUUUUAUCAAACAUAUCAUAUUAUGUAUAUUGGUUAUAUUGAGAGCAAGUGGAGGUAUAAAUAAACUUCUGAAAACAAGAUAUUCUUUCAAACUAAUUUUUUCCUGUAGAAUAUUCGGAUUGAUUAAAUCCUUAAAACUUGAGAUGCGACCAAAAUAAUUGUCAGUAUAUAAGAGGUUCUAAUAAAGCUUGUGUAUUACUCUCAAGAACAAAAUUUGAAAUCUUCUUACAAGUUGCAUGACACAAAGCUACACCUCACAUGAUAAUUUCAAUAUCUCUAUUCCACCUCUUCCAUGAGGACAGACAGCUUCAAUGACGAGUUUAAAUUUAAUUGAAGACAUCCAGGAAACAAAAUAUAAAGAUAUAAAAGAUAAAAAAAAAUGCAUUCAGAUAAUAAACCAAACUGAGUGCUGUCAUUUUAUUAAGAUUGGUCUGUGCAAUUUCAGCUUUAAACAUUCAGAUUGCAGAAACUGAGAAUUGCAAUAAAAUAAGGAUUUAUAUUUUAAACGGAGCAAACAUGAUGUACUUCCAAGAAAUUAGUAAAAUAGUAAAGCCGUAAAAGGUAAAUGUAAAUGGUAAAUGUAUACACUUUUCUAUUUACAACUAAAAUCCAACGGUGCUUCUAAUUGACUUUGCAAAAAUUAACACACAAUUACAUAUUUUCAAUAAAGGUAUUUUAACAUCAGCAAUACCUUAUUCAUUCAGAGUUGGUUAUUUCAAAUCCGGCAAAAAUCCAAAAUAAUGGUGACAGGUCAGCGGUUUCGGGUUCACGAAUUGAUUUUCUUUUUUUUAAUGAAAGCAAUUAGGUUUAUAAGGUGCCACCUAUCCGGUAGAUGCUUGAAUUAAAGAACAAUCUUCUUCAGAACUUUGUAUACCGUAACAUCAAAGACAGCGCCAAUAAAAAAGAAAAUUCACAUAUCAUUAAGUCAAACGCGUUAGAGUACACUGCUUAUAAAAAUCAUUUACAAAUAUUAACCUAUGACUCAAAAGAUCCAGCCUCAGGUGAAACUAUAUACGCCUUUGUUACAACAUCAAAAACUGUUACAAAGUUUAAACAUUCGUCUGACAAUUUUACAGUGUACACUACAGAGAUGAUGUCUAUUUACCAAUCAUUAAAAUGGUUACCUUUCCAUCAAAAGUCAGAACAAGAAGUUCUUAUACUCACUCAUUCAAAUAGUGAUAUCCAAUCUAUACAAAAUGAUGUAUCAAGUAGACCCGACAUCCUAGAACCAAUUCAAAUAAUUAUAGCUUGACGACUCAUGAUCAAACAACAAAUAGAGAAGUCACCAUAGAAUGAAUUCCAGCUUAUGUCGGUAUCCUAGGUAAUAAACGGCUGACAAACUAGCAAAAUUAGCCUUAACUAAUGAUAAAAACCUAUGUUAACAUUAAUCUUAGUGCAAACGAUUUUAUUGUUAUAACAACAUCAUUAUAUAAGAAAAAAAUGGCAAACUAGGUUGGACAGAGAUUUCCAAUAAAAUGACAUACGUACAUAACUCGACGUACGGACCUAAGGGGACUGGUUAUUGCCAACCAUUGAUUUUGGUUAAAUACGUCGCUCAAGUUAAAACCAAGUAUUCCAAGAUUAUUAAAACCACACAAUGGAAUGUUCGUCCAUAUCAAAUGAUUUUUACGGGAUAUAAAAUGAUAGAAAUAUUGUGUUUUUUUAUAUAUCACGUGGUUCUCCAGAUUCCCGCCUGAAUUUGCUCUGACAUAAGAUCACGUAUACAGUCCGGGAUGCGGUUCGAUAAAAUUGCUCCCCUUGUUUAUUUCGCUCUCCUGUCAAAUCAUGUAAUUUCGCUACCUCCAAUUGUAGACGCGACAACGAUUGGUGUCGUCAGGACAGAUACGAUUAAAGGAAUCAGUUAGGAAUUAGACGAUCCUCAUUGGUAUAGUGUCGAAAAUGAUGAUAGACAGUAGUUUUAUCAAGAAGUUAUGGAGAUUGUUCCCGAAUAGAUUCCUUAACAUCACAGUGUAUAAGAGACUAAUGAGCCUCGUCUAGUGCAAGCAACUGACAUGCCCUACCUGUUACGCUGACGGAAAAGCCCUCACUUUGAAAGCACGUUAAAAUGUUGUGUGGAAGUUCUGCUAUACAUCUGACAGUCAGAUGUCUUGGAAUUAUUCUGAAGUACAUAUGCCGACCAAAGGCAGGGAACAGAGGGGAGAGGUUUUAAAGUGAUGCUAAUUUGAGAUUCCAAUUUGAACUAUAGAAAGCAAUAUAUAAAGAUAUGUAGGAGAAAUAAUCUAUAUGAAUAAAAUUAUCCCACAAUA
Long non-coding RNA from Mytilus californianus (California mussel), 2528 nucleotides. RefSeq lists it as uncharacterized. The record is from RefSeq and is a predicted model, not a curated record. The transcript is spliced from 2 exons. NCBI's taxonomy places the organism in Eukaryota, Metazoa, Mollusca, Bivalvia, Mytilida, Mytilidae.